GCGCGGGUGGCGGAAUUGGUAUACGCGUACGUUUGAGGGGCGUAUGCCGAAAGGCAUGUGGGUUCAAGUCCCACCCCGCGCA
This 82-nucleotide transfer RNA is filed under the name Elusimicrobiota bacterium. Its description in RNAcentral is "Elusimicrobia bacterium (groundwater metagenome) tRNA-Leu". It matches the Rfam family "tRNA". From Rfam's summary of the family: Transfer RNA (tRNA) molecules are approximately 80 nucleotides in length. Their secondary structure includes four short double-helical elements and three loops (D, anti-codon, and T loops). The record is from RNAcentral. Lineage: Bacteria; Pseudomonadati; Elusimicrobiota.